RNAcentral lists this ribosomal RNA (433 nucleotides) under uncultured bacterium. RNAcentral's name for it is "partial 16S ribosomal RNA". It matches the Rfam family "Bacterial small subunit ribosomal RNA", at positions 29 to 507 of the family's 1533-position model. The record is from RNAcentral.
AGCGAACGCUGGCGGCAGGCCUAACACAUGCAAGUCGAACGAACUCUUCGGAGUUAGUGGCGGACGGGUGAGUAACACGUGGGAACGUGCCCUUUGGUACGGAAUAACUCAGGGAAACUUGAGCUAAUACCGUAUGUGCCCUUCGGGGGAAAGAUUUAUCGCCAUUGGAGCGGCCCGCGUCUGAUUAGCUAGUUGGUGAGGUAAAGGCUCACCAAGGCUACGAUCAGUAGCUGGUCUGAGAGGAUGAUCAGCCACAUUGGGACUGAGACACGGCCCAAACUCCUACGGGAGGCAGCAGUGGGGAAUCUUGCGCAAGGGGCGAAAGCCUGACGCAGCCAUGCCGCGUGAAUGAUGAAGGUCUUAGGAUUGUAAAAUUCUUUCACCGGGGACGAUAAUGACGGUACCCGGAGAAGAAGCCCCGGCUAACUUCGUG